AACACAAUAAAACUAGAGUCAGCAAGCUAGGUUGGCAAGGAUUUUGACAGCCUGUGCAAGUGUUAAGUAACACUUGCACUGUAUGGGCGGUCUGUCUGACUCUGUUACUCAGUUCGAGUAUAUCUUAUACCUUUAAACGAGCAAUUCUUGUAUAUAUAUAUAUUUCUAUGAUCUCGGAAACGGCUCUAACGAUUUCGCUGAAAUUUGGUAUAUGGGGGUUUUUGGGGGUAUACAAUCUAUCUAGAUUAGUCUUAUGUUUGGGAAAACGCGUGUUUUCGAGUUUUCAUGCGUUUUUCUUUCGACGCAGAAUAUGGUCGCUAAUUUCGUGUUGCCGGCCACUGUCCGUCUGGUCCAGCGGGUUAAGACGCGGAUUGCUAAACGAGUGUUACGGGUUCGAAUCUCGCCCGGUGACUAACUUUUGUUUUUUUUUUUAUAUGUUCAAGUUUAUAUAUAAUUUUUUAAUUUUUAUUGUUUUAGACAAGUUUAAUUUGGUAAAAAAAUGUAGUUAAGAUUAUCACCUAUACACCACCAUAUUACAAUAAAUAGUUAUAACCGAGCAAAGCUCGGUCGCCCAGGUACUGUUAUGUAAUAUGCAUAUGUACAUCGAGUCUUGGCGUAGGUUUAGGUAAUCGGGAACAGCUAAAUGUACUAGUACUAGGAGUAAUAUACUUAGUUAGUCUUUCAGCAUUAGAAAGAAGGUAAGCUCACGGUAAGCUAUCUUGACGUAUAUUUUUAUUGAUAAAACACUUUUGAAGAAUAAUACACAGCAAAUAUAUAACGAUGGAGUUUUAAUACAUUCAUUAAACAGUUUUUUAUAAACUUUGACAUGACAAUUUGAAGUGUUUAUGUCGGGUUGUCAAGACCAACAAUAUUAGCCAAACUGAUUAGGAGUACAAGCCAAAAGUAUUUGGGGUUGCUGUUGAGCAUUUUGGACCAUUCCGGAUCUAGAGCAGAGCCCAACUGGGGAAGUACCUCCACCUUACAGAAAAUCGCAGCCAAAUAACACUGUACCCUACUCGUAGUGUUGUGUUCCUGCCGGUGAGUGAGGUUGCCAGAGCUCAACGAGGGGUGGGAGGGCGUUAGGGUCGGCAACGCGCAUGUAACUCCUCUGGAGUUGCAGGCGUACAUAGGCUACGGAUACUGCUUACCAUCAGGCGGGCCGUAUGCUUGUUUGCCACCGACUUAGUAUAAAAAAAAAGCAUCCUCCCAGCAAGUCUCUUUCGAAUUUUCCCAUAAAUACUAUCUUUUCUACUAAACGAGAGGCCAAAAAAUUUUGUACUUACGAUUUUACCCUCAAAUAAACGGAAUAUUAGACAUAUAUAAUAAAUGGACCGGCGACGUGCCGUAUCAUAACUUUUAAUAGAGGAAUAUUUUAUGAGGAAAAAAUACAAUCUACUGCUUGUUAAUUAUGCUAUAUAGUUUGUACACUUUACGUACAGUAUUAUUAACACAUGAAUAUUUGUAAAAAUAUGAUUUUAUUAACAAACCGGGCCGAUGAGAACAUUCUUUGGCGGUAACAUAUUGACAUGCAUUUUCAUAGAUGAACAACAGCAAAGUAUUAUAUUUUUAUAUGUCUAAGAUUAUGUAUCAUUUCUGUAUAAAAUUCGUGUGCAUUUCGUACCGCGAUUCCACGAUAUAACCAAAGUGAGUUUCUACUUAGAGUGGGCAUAUUUUGCGAGCUUUCUAGCUGCUGUUAGGUAAUUAAACUAGACAGUUUAUUUGAGGGUAAAAUCGUGAGUACAAAAUAUUCUGGCCUCUCGUUUAGAAAAUAUAGUAUUUAUCUAUGGUAUUUAUGGGAAAACUCGAGAGGGGGUUGCUGGGAGGAUGCUGAACAGCAACCCCAAAUACUUUUGGCUUGUACUCCUAAUCAGUUGAGGUACAAUGUUUUUAAGUAAGUACUAACUGAGUAACCUAUUGUCUACUAAAUCCUCAUAUAUAAUAAUACAAAAUGCAAAAAUGUAAUGCGGGGUUGCUGGAGACCAUGACGUGCGGUACGAACCAACCAAGCUGUAGCUCAAAACAGUCGCCAACAGCAAGUAAACACACGUCGCCAUCUUUAAAAAUGGCUGCCAACUGUCAAUGACUCGCGGGGAAAUUAUGUUCUAUUAUUAAAAGUGCUAUGUGACUUAA
This is a long non-coding RNA of Cydia pomonella (codling moth), 2130 nucleotides long. RefSeq lists it as uncharacterized. The record is from RefSeq and is a predicted model, not a curated record. The transcript has 3 exons. Lineage: Eukaryota; Metazoa; Arthropoda; Insecta; Lepidoptera; Tortricidae.